Molecule: ribosomal RNA, 447 nt
Filed under: uncultured bacterium
Lineage: Bacteria
Description: SSU rRNA
Rfam family: Bacterial small subunit ribosomal RNA
Source: RNAcentral
AGAGCGAACGCUGGCGGCAGGCUUAACACAUGCAAGUCGAGCGGGCGUAGCAAUACGUCAGCGGCAGACGGGUGAGUAACGCGUGGGAACGUACCUUUUGGUUCGGAACAACACAGGGAAACUUGUGCUAAUACCGGAUAAGCCCUUACGGGGAAAGAUUUAUCGCCGAAAGAUCGGCCCGCGUCUGAUUAGCUAGUUGGUGGGGUAACGGCUCACCAAGGCGACGAUCAGUAGCUGGUCUGAGAGGAUGAUCAGCCACAUUGGGACUGAGACACGGCCCAAACUCCUACGGGAGGCAGCAGUGGGGAAUAUUGGACAAUGGGCGCAAGCCUGAUCCAGCCAUGCCGCGUGAGUGAUGAAGGCCCUAGGGUUGUAAAGCUCUUUUGUGCGGGAAGAUAAUGACGGUACCGCAAGAAUAAGCCCGGCUAACUUCGCGCCAGCAGCCGC